This is a long non-coding RNA of Mirounga angustirostris (Northern elephant seal), 1594 nucleotides long. RefSeq lists it as uncharacterized. The transcript has 4 exons. The record is from RefSeq and is a predicted model, not a curated record. Lineage: Eukaryota; Metazoa; Chordata; Mammalia; Carnivora; Phocidae.
UCCGCCGCACUCUCCCUACUCGCUUGCUGGGCCCUGCGCGCACCGCUGCAACGCUCAACCGGACCACGGGGGGGCGCUGGCAAACCACCCUUAGCGACCUAGGAACGUGGCGGGCGGAGUGACGUCACGCGGCCUGUGAGCGGGAGGGAGAACGGCAGCGGGCUUCUGGGAAACGUCUUCCGCGGGCUGUCACCCUCCCACCCUGCGGACUGUGCGCAGGCGCCGUGCGUGAGGCGCUCGAGUUGGCGCUACGCUGGCCGAGGAGCCGCUUAGCUGCCGCGGACAAUGGAGGAGGCCUUUGGGGACCUGGACGUGAGGUGGUCUGCGUGGCCUUUGCUACACUAUCUUUAUGUGUGCUAGAACUUCUGUGCUAGAUUCCUGGGCUUUCAUAAAGGCUCUGCAGGUGAUUGUCUAAGACAGUGUUCUUGACGGGCUUCCAGACCACAGCCAAGAGGGACUGGAGCUGGUUUAUGGACCACCGGAGGGGCCAUAGCCAAGACUAAGGAGUUGUGACCCAUCUCUGAACCUCAAUUUCUUCAUCAAGAUGCUGAGGAUAGUACAUGUCUUCUGUGAUGAUGAAAUAUGGCAGAAAAGUGAACAUACUUGGAUUAUUAUUCCCAAACAAGAGACUCUGAUGCCAGUGAUUUUUGCUGCCAGCUGAAGGACAACAAUUUUCUCUUCAGAUCAUUUCUAAGGAACAGUGACUAUAACUCAAAGAAUUUUAAAAACAAGUAACUGAUUGACAAGAGGGAAGAUGAAUGUGACUACACUCAUGGACCUCCUCCUAGGAUCACCGGAAGAGUAGAGCUUCCCUCUUGACUUCCUCUUUAAUCACUCGGUUUUUAAGAUCACAAGAUCCAGUUUGGUCUUUCCUCAGGAGGCAAAGAACUGCCUGCUUAGGAGUGCACAGAGAAAGACAACUUAACAUUUAUGAGGAAUAACUUGAUAAAUAUCACACAGACCAUGUCUGUUACUGCUAAGAGCAAAAUUAUCAUCUUGGUGGGGGUGAUUCAAACUUUCUGGAAUAUGAAGUAAUGAAGUUCAGGAACAUGCAGAGUACAUAUUUGUGAAGGUACACUGCAAUCUCACUCCAAUUUAGUAGAAUUUGCUGAAAAAGAUGUCAGACUUCAGAGCUAUGCUAAGGCAGUUACUUAAGAAUACAAACCUCCUGAUAUCAUGAGAAGCCCAUUUUUUUGUGAUGGGCUAAUAAUGAUCAAAUACCUACAAGAUAAGAACAGGACUUAGGGCAAUGUGUUGAUGGACCUAUGGUUCUAAUUCCAUUUCUGUCUCCCCCUUAUGUAGGCUCAACUGUAAAACACUGAACUUAAAGAGAGAAGGCCCCUGCUAGUCUGAUCUUGGUUUACAGAAAUCUUUAUAUUAUAGAUUGACCCUUACUGGCAUGACUAUUUACUGGUUUGUUUGUAAACACUGUAAUUAUAGGCAAUACAAUGUUGCAUCUUUUUAGUGGUUCACAGAGUUACAUAAAUAUUCAGAAAAAGAGAGACAGAAUUCACCUACAAUUGAAGCAAACAAUUUACCACAAAGUGGAGGUAAUUGCUGUAAACUGAAAAUGACAAUUACAUUCCUUUUUGCA